Bacillus rossius redtenbacheri is the source of this 1289-nucleotide RNA transcript. It is a transcript of the gene named gamma-glutamylaminecyclotransferase, with no coding region annotated. Lineage: Eukaryota; Metazoa; Arthropoda; Insecta; Phasmatodea; Bacillidae. The transcript has 4 exons. The record is from RefSeq and is a predicted model, not a curated record.
UGUUGCAGUGAAAAUGUGCUAACUAAAUAUUUGACAGUUAAUGAAGGAAUUAAUUCAGUAUACGGAGGAUUUACAGCAAAUGCACUAUUUCUCUCCAAAUCAGAGUAAUUUUACAAUACAGGAUCAAAAAUUAACACGUCACUAGAAAGAUCCAAAGGAAUUUUUUUUUAAAUAUUUCACUAAGUACUGAAGAUUUUGUAAUGGCAAAAAAAAAAAAAAAAAAUAGCUUCCAAUAAAUUACAGAUUUGUGAAAUCUAGUUAUUAUUGUUUGUGUUUUCGUUUAAAGUUGAAAGUAGUUGCUGCUGGGGAAUUAAGUGAAUAAUAAUUUAAGUAAAAUGUUGGUUGGAUUAGGGCAUGAGCCGGGUCUCCGGUGAACACUCACUGCCAUGGGCUCGGAGAACGUGUUCGUGUACGGCACGCUGAAGCGCGGCGAGCCCAACCACCAUUGGAUCACGAACCCGUGCAACGGAUCCGCGCGGCUGGUUGGCGUCGCCCAGACGGUGGAGCUGUAUCCGCUGGUCAUCGCCAGCAAGUACAACAUUCCCUUCCUGCUGCACCACCCAGGACAUGGCCACGUGGGUACCAGCGUGGAACAAGGGGUCGAGUGUCUUGCCGUUACGGAGGCGGUGUCGGGGGAAGUGUACAGCGUGGACGGGGCCAUGCUGUGCAGCCUGGACGCGCUGGAAGACCACCCGCGCCUGUACGCGCGCUCGCGGGUCGCCGCGCGGCUGCUGCCCGCGGGGGAGACUGUCGCGUGCUGGGCCUACCUCCUGACCGCCUUCAGGCCGGAGCUGCUCGCGCUGCCGUGCCACACGGACUACCGCUCCAGCGGGCCACACGGCCUCGAGUACUGCGAGGGGCGCUCGCGAGACCCCGGCCACGAGCUCCUGUGGGACGUGAAGCCGCGAGGCGGGGCGUGAUUGGCACCCAGCCGGCUAGCCCGGAUUCGCCCAUGCAACUUGAAAUACAUGAACAACAACGAAUCGUCGUUGGACGACGUCUGAAGUUCUCACAGUUGCACGUAGCUUCUUGAACGAAAGAGAACUUAAAUGAAAAACCUAGACAUCUGCUGUGCUAAAGUGUCGAUGAGAUCUGGACUAUAAAGGGUUGAUUACUGCUGUGACUACAAACUCUCACGACAACCAAUCAUGCAUGCCAAAUAUGUACAAAAUUUUCCACCGUUGUAAUUUGAAUUUUGGUCAUGUUUGCAUACUCUCCUGUUAUGAUUUUUUAAUGUAAUUUCUGCAAUUUAAGAAAUUUAUCACCAACACUAUAUUUCAGAUAAAAUG